Long non-coding RNA from Brassica napus (rape), 735 nucleotides. RefSeq lists it as uncharacterized. NCBI's taxonomy places the organism in Eukaryota, Viridiplantae, Streptophyta, Magnoliopsida, Brassicales, Brassicaceae. The record is from RefSeq and is a predicted model, not a curated record. The transcript is spliced from 4 exons.
UUUGAUGUCUGAGUCUGACCCAUAAACAACAGGGACCCUUGCCCUCAGCUCAAUCUCAUCAUCACAUGUUUUCAUCGACAAAGAUUCCAACCCACGAUCGACUACUUCAAUUGUCAGGUUGAAUUCUAACCCAGAGUUUGCUAAGAAAGUGAAUGCAUAGGAGGUGACUAAGGCUGAGACAACGACAAUUGGAAAAAUCUUUGCUUAUAUCAAGCAAGGAUUAGCCAAGGCCGUGAGCUAACUGGAAAGCAUGCCUCCGAAUUAGUUGAUAAGUACUUUGAGGCUAAUGGUGAUCUUGGUCCUAACCAUGAAUGCCUGUCCUACAAACUUUGAUCGACGCCAUUGGUCAAACACAUAGGUUCAAGGUGUAAGUUUCUGAAUACAACUUAGAACGAGGGACUCAGGCUAUAACAGUAAUGAAGGUUGUCUCUCCUUCAGUCCUGCAACCUUUAACAUCCCCGGUUGGAAUCCCACUUGCCACCACUUCUGAAAUGCCUCUAUUUUCUGCAAGUGAUUAGGGUGCGUCCUCCAAAGACUGGAGACCUAGCUGUUGAAGAAAACACCAGUACAAGUAACUGUGACGAAGCACAGAGGAAAACGUGCUAAAUUAGAGUAAUAGAGCAUUAACCACUCAUUUUAUAGAUUGUACUUAUGCGUAGGAGUGUAGCUUCUCUUUCCGUUUUUAAUUAUGAGCGUUUGCUAAGUUUUUCUAAUAUAUUAGUAUGGCUUUACAUU